GCUGUUAGAAAGUAGGCCAUUCCUGCACAGUAUCAAAAGCUCCUAAAAAGGCAUGCAAAAGUGAAUGAGCUGCAAGAAUGUACAGGAACAUUUUACAUGCCUUCAGAAUAGCUGGGCCCUGAAAAAUCUCUGGCCCUGAAAAAAAAAAAAAUGUAAAGAAAUGCACACAAACACCAGGAAACAGAAAACCACGAACUUGAGAAGUCGUGCAGUUUUGCAUCUACCGAGCUCGAACAGGCGCUGGAUGUGUUGUUUGAAAAGCCAGCGGUGAAAUACGGUCAGACACAGCCAGCCUGAAGCUGAUCACACUGAUGUACUGAGAUAAGUGGAUGCAGCAUGAGAGUAUCAUGGAUGAAGAUUUACAGCAGGAGGAGCGAGCUAAAAGUCUGAGGAUUGCAACAAAGACGACUGGAGAUGGUGCCAUGCUUAAAAGAAAGGGUGACAUUUGAAGCUGCCAGCAGAGAUGGAUGUGGCGUUUGUGUGGCUGGCCAGGUCAUCCAGAGUGCAACAUGUGGCCUAGAGGAACAAGAAACCAGCGAUAGAUAGAGAGAGAGAGAGAGAGAGAGAGAGAGAAAAGACAUUCUAAUCCCAC
This is a long non-coding RNA of Clupea harengus (Atlantic herring), 592 nucleotides long. The record is from Ensembl. Lineage: Eukaryota; Metazoa; Chordata; Actinopteri; Clupeiformes; Clupeidae.